GGGAUUAGAUACCCCACUAUGCUUAGCCUUAAACCUAGGUGUUGAAUUUACAAGCAACAUCCGCCAGGGUACUACAAGCGCUAGCUUAAAACCCAAAGGACUUGACGGUGUCUCAGACCCACCUAGAGGAGCCUGUUCUAGAACCGAUAAUCCCCGUUAAACCUCACCACCCCUUGUUUCCUCCGCCUAUAUACCGCCGUCGCAAGCUUACCCUGUGAAGGGCUAAUAGUAAGCAAGAUGGGUAAAUCCCAAAACGUCAGGUCGAGGUGUAGCUUACGAGGUGGGAAGAAAUGGGCUACAUUUUCUAUACCAGAAUAAUACGAACAGCACCAUGAAAUUAGUGCUCGAAGGUGGAUUUAGUAGUAAAAAACAAAUAGAGAGUCUUUUUGAACCAGGCUCUGAGACGCGCACACACCGCCCC
RNAcentral lists this ribosomal RNA (421 nucleotides) under Diapoma lepiclastum. RNAcentral describes it as "partial 12S ribosomal RNA". It matches the Rfam family "Bacterial small subunit ribosomal RNA", at positions 774 to 1396 of the family's 1533-position model. The record is from RNAcentral. Lineage: Eukaryota; Metazoa; Chordata; Actinopteri; Characiformes; Stevardiidae.